GAAAAUCUAAGCAUUUUGUUCACAACAGUAUUUCCUUUAUAAUAGAUAUGAGUAUGAACAUCUGUCACCAACGGAUCCGGUUCAUCUCCCACAUCAGGAUCAAUAAUAGUUAUUCCAAAUAGAAACCUCCACAAAUCAUCAGUAAACUCAUAAACAACAUUUCCAAUAGUGAAUUUAAAAUAGGAAUCAUCUUUGUCACGUAGUCCAGAAUAAAACACGCGAAUAAGGUCCUCAUUAUAGUCUUGUGAGAGUUGCAAGAAGUAGUCGAUCUUCUGAUGGGAUACAAAAUCAACAACUUCAGGAAGAGCCAACUUAGCAGCCUCAGUGUCUUUCCACACAUAUUGCAUGACAACGAGCCUAUCCUUGUAUUUCUCUUCAAAUUCCUUAUACACCUUCGAGAUACCAAUGAAAAGGUAGUUUCUCUCCAAAUCGAACCAAAAACUAAAAAAAAUACUAAAGCUCUAAAACCAAAAUUAAAUCACUAUGGAGGGGAAUCAAAGCAAGGGACUUUGGGGAUUUGAUUCCACCUCAGUGUCCUCUACAUGAUGGUAAUGAGUUUAAAGCGGAAAAGAGUAAGGUGGAGAGGACCCCCACCUGCAAGGCCAUGGUGUGCCUUAGUAGUUGUUGAAGAUGAAGAUGGAGAUGCUAAAGCAUAUAGAAGACCAGAAGAAGAAUCGGGUAAUCAAUUUGAACUCUUCAGAUUUUUGCUUGCGAUAAAUUCUUCUCUUUCUUCUUUUGAGUAGUCCGUAGGGAUCAAAAUUAUGGAGUUGUUUUGUGUUAUUUUUGUUGUGGUGUGUAUGAUUGGGGGGUAAAGGAAGAGAUUGCAGAUAGGUUGAAAAUGCUUGCAAAGUGAAAACAUAGAGAAUUGAGAUUGUGUUUGUGAGUGCAGAGCGAAUGAAAUGAUUAUUGAUGAUCUUCCAUUAAUUAUGAGUGAGACAAAUUAUAUAGAUGUUGAGGUUCUAACAAAAUUGGGCAAGGAUUUGCGCAGACAGUUAUCCUGUUAGGGCAUGGUUAAGUUUUAGUUAAAUGGGGAGGAAAGUUAGUUGGAACUGUUAACGCUAUUAAAUGUUUCUGUUAAAAUCAGUUAGUUCAAUUAGUUAUUGGAGGGAAUUAUAAGUUAGUUUGAACUUUUAACAGAGUUAGAAGUUCUGUUAGUUGUUAGUUCGAAACUGAAUUAGAGUUGAAUCAGUUGGUUACAGUUGAGUUUGAUGAAUAAGAAUAUUAGUUAAUCAGUUGAAUGACCAUGGCCAUGUGUUAGCUUGAAUUCAAAAUUAGUUAGCCGUGUAGUUUGAGUUUGAGUUAGUUAGUUUAGACUUGACAAUUAGGUUAGUUUGAUUAGUGGAUUUAGAAACUAGUUAGUGAAAUGUUAAUAGGAGUAGAAGUUAGUGUUAGGAUGAAUUGUUACUGUUGUUAGUGAAAUGGGAUUUUUGAACUCAAUUAGUGAUGGAUUUGAAAUUGUGUUAACUGAUUAUGUUGAAAUGUCAUGGGACUUCUGAACUGUGAUUAUUAACAGAUAUGUUAGUGAACCAUACCAAUUAAAAUAUGAUCAAAUUGGUGGUAUGGAACUGUUAGUAGGAAGUUGGUUUGGUUGUAUGUUGAAUUUCCAUGCUAAUAGAUGCUUGAACUAUGUUAGUUAGCUCAAAUGUGUUGGAAAUGUAAUGGAAUAGUUAACUGUUUGUGCCUUGAUUCAAUUAGAAAUGCCCUACUAGCGGUAUUGAUGUUAAUAGGUCAAUGGUGUUUUAAUUUGGUGAUUGUAAUUGCUAGGUAUAAAUUAUUGAUGAUUGUUAGCAAUGUUAAUUAGGAUGUGGUGUUGUUUACAUUUAGACCUUGGAAAAGAGUUUAAAACAAUUGGGAUUUGGAUGUGUUUAAAGGAUGGUGGGCAUGCUAAACUUUGUAUGAAUUGUGAUGAUGUUUGGACUUGAAUUAGAUGCACUGUCUAGGCUUGGUUAUGUUGCUAACAUGCUUUGAUUUUGUAUGGCUAAUGUGAAUUGGAAUUGGUGGCACAUGGUACUGCUAUGAGGUUUUGGAUUGACUGAGUAUGGCAUAGUGUAAAUGGCUAACCACUUUGGUUAACCAGUUACUAACACGACAUUGGUUGGUUAAUUUAUGUGCAAUAGCAUGAAGUAUUAGUUAGAGAUUAGAAUGUUAGAAGGAUUAUGCAGGUUAUUAGUGUUAAAUGUUGCUAAUUCAACAAAAUUGGUUAGGUUGAGCUAUAAAACACUAGGGCAAUGUGUGUUACUGAACUUUCAUGAUAAUUAGUCAAUUUGUGGCAAAAAGAAGUGAUGAUUGGAUGCUAACUAGCAGCUAAGAUAAUUGGAUAAAGUUGUGAUUUGUUUUAGUUUCCAUGGAAUCAAUUGGAAUCAUUAUGGUAUGUUUUAUGUUAUGGUUGGAUUGGCCAUAAAUCCUAUUUUUUUUAUUGAGAUCUGUUGACUUUGUAUACCAUUCCGCUGUAGAUAAAGGAUCUUACCUAUAGGUCAUGUGUUAAUGUAUGGUCUGAGUUCUGAUUGUGUGUGUAUUUGGUUUUGUUGAUGCAUGGAUGGCAUGCCUAUGAUGGAGUGGACAUUGCAUUGGCAUGAUGGUGGCAAGGUUUGAUCAUGGUUUAUGAGGGUUUGAUCAAGGCAUGAAAAACUUGAAUGCUUUGGAGUAAGAAAAUAGAAUUAGGGUUUUGGGAUUCGAAAGUAGACUUUGGUCAAUUAUUGACCAAGAAGUCAAUAAUUGACUAAAGUCAACCCUAUGUCAAAAUGGGUACUUUGUAUCAUGUUUGAAAUUUUGGAUUUUUGUCAUGUACUUUGGUGUUUUGAACAUUAACUACCCUUGUAUGGUUGUAUCUUAUUUUCCAAGCAAUACAAAAUGUCUUUCCCUCCAAUUUUAUGAGUUUUGAAUAA
RNAcentral lists this long non-coding RNA (2885 nucleotides) under Lathyrus oleraceus (garden pea). Its description in RNAcentral is "Pisum sativum (pea) long non-coding RNA (PSAT_LNC028629)". The record is from RNAcentral. Lineage: Eukaryota; Viridiplantae; Streptophyta; Magnoliopsida; Fabales; Fabaceae.